RNAcentral lists this ribosomal RNA (245 nucleotides) under uncultured bacterium. RNAcentral's name for it is "partial 16S ribosomal RNA". It matches the Rfam family "Bacterial small subunit ribosomal RNA", at positions 524 to 768 of the family's 1533-position model. The record is from RNAcentral.
GACGAACCGUGCGAACGUUGUUCGGAUUCACUGGGCUUAAAGGGCGCGUAGGCGGGUGACCAAGUCCGGGGUGAAAUCUUUCGGCCCAACCGGAAAAGUGCCUGGGAUACUGGUCAUCUCGAGGGAGGUAGGGGCAUGCGGAACUUCCGGUGGAGCGGUGAAAUGCGUAGAUAUCGGAAGGAACGCCGGUGGCGAAAGCGGCGUGCUGGACCUCUUCUGACGCUGAGGCGCGAAAGCCAGGGGAG